RNAcentral lists this ribosomal RNA (393 nucleotides) under Ochromonas tuberculata. RNAcentral's name for it is "partial small subunit ribosomal RNA". It matches the Rfam family "Eukaryotic small subunit ribosomal RNA", at positions 30 to 432 of the family's 1831-position model. Lineage: Eukaryota; Chrysophyceae; Chromulinales; Chromulinaceae. The record is from RNAcentral.
GCUUGUCUCAAAGAUUAAGCCAUGCAUGUCUAAGUAUAAACUAAUUUAUACAGUGAAACUGCGAAUGGCUCAUUAAAUCAGUUAUAGUUUAUUUGAUAGUGACCUUACUACUUGGAUAUCCGUGGUAAUUCUAGAGCUAAUACAUGCAUUAAAGCCCCGACUUCUGGAAGGGGUGUAUUUAUUAGAUGGAAACCAAUGCGGGGUAACCCGGAAUAUGGUGAUUCAUAAUAACUUUCGGAUCGAUUUAUCGAUGCAUCAUUCAAGUUUCUGCCCUAUCAGCUUUGGAUGGUAGGGUAUUGGCCUACCAUGGCUUUAACGGGUAACGGAGAAUUAGGGUUCGAUUCCGGAGAGGGAGCCUGAGAAAUGGCUACCACAUCCAAGGAAGGCAGCAGG